This 3086-nucleotide ribosomal RNA is filed under the name uncultured Clostridia bacterium. RNAcentral's name for it is "bacterial LSU rRNA". It matches the Rfam family "Bacterial large subunit ribosomal RNA". RNAcentral also lists the same sequence under 1 other name. The record is from RNAcentral. Lineage: Bacteria; Bacillati; Bacillota; Clostridia.
UCAAGCUACUAAGGGCGCAUGGCGGAUGCCUUGGCGCUAGGAGCCGAUGAAGGGCGUGGCAAGCGACGAUAUGCCUCGGGUAGCCGCAAGCAGGCUUUGAUCCGGGGAUGCCCGAAUGGGGAAACCCACUGGGGAUAAUGCCCCAGUAUCCUCAUCUGAAGUAAGUAGGGUGAGGAGGGGAACCGCGGGAACUGAAACAUCUAAGUACCGCGAGGAAAAGAAAGAAAUCUCGAUUCCCUGAGUAGCGGCGAGCGAAACGGGAAGAGCCCAAACCGGUAGCGUGUAAUAGCCUGCAGGCGUUGCGUUACCGGGGUUGUAGGAGCCGUUCGUAGGGUAUCUGCAGGUACUCUAAAUACGGGAUAAGUUUUAGCUGAAGCGGUCUGGAAAGGCCCACCACAGACGGUGACAGUCCGGUAAGCGAAAAGGCUUAUGCUGUAUUAGGAUGGCAUCCUGAGUACCACGGGGCACGUGAAACCCUGUGGGAAACCGGGAGGACCACCUCCCAAGGCUAAAUACUACCUAGCGACCGAUAGUGAACUAGUACCGUGAGGGAAAGGUGAAAAGAACCCCGGGAGGGGAGUGAAAUAGAACCUGAAACCAUGUGCCUACAAAAAGUGGGAGGACCAUCAGGUGCAUUUAGCAUGACUGGGUCUGACCGCGUACUUUUUGCAGAACGGACCGGCGAGUUACAGUAUGUGGCGAGGUUAAGCAGUAGAUGCGGAGCCGUAGCGAAAGCGAGUCUGAAUAGGGCGUGGGCCUUUGGCCCAGAAGUCGCAUGCUGUAGACCCGAAACCGGGUGAGCUACCCAUGGCCAGGGUGAAGCGAGGCUAAUCCCUCGUGGAGGCCCGAACCACGUUGACGUUGAAAAGUCAUGGGAUGAGCUGUGGGUAGGGGUGAAAAGCCAAUCGAACCCGGAGAUAGCUGGUUCUCUCCGAAAUAGCUUUAGGGCUAGCCUCGGGAGUUUACUUAUGGAGGUAGAGCACUGAUCGGGCUAGGGGGCCUGAAAGCUUACCGAACCCUUUCAAACUCCGAAUGCCAUAAGUUAAGAUCCCGGGAGUCAGACUGCGUGCACUAAGGUUCGUAGUCGAGAGGGAAAUAGCCCAGACCCAAAGUUAAGGUCCCAAAGUAUAGGCUAAGUGGGAAAGGAUGUGGGGUUGCCCAGACAGCCAGGAUGUUGGCUUAGAAGCAGCCAUUCAUUUAAAGAGUGCGUAAUAGCUCACUGGUCAAGUGAUCCUGCGCCGAAGAUCCAACGGGGCUUAAGCCUAUCACCGAAGCUUGGGUAGCAGUCUAUUAGGCUGCUAGGUAGGAGAGCGUUCCCUGGCGAGCGAAGUAAGACCGUAAGGACUUAUGGACGGCAGGGAAGUGAGAAUGCCGGUAUGAGUAGCGAUAAGGCAGGUGAGAAUCCUGCCCGCCGAAAACCUAAGGUUUCCUGAGGAAGGGUCGUCCGCUCAGGGUAAGUCGGGACCUAAGCUGAGGGCGAAAGCCGUAGGCGAUGGACAAUCGGUUGAUAUUCCGAUACCACCCUGGAACCGCCCAUGGGAAUCACAGGCCUUGUGUUAUGGCCUCGGCCAUGGCAAUAGGCUUAUGAGGACCAAGCGAUGGGGUGACGCAGAAGGGUAGGCCAUCAGGCGACUGGAAGUGCCUGUCCAAAGGUGUAGGAGGUGGCAUAGGCAAAUCCGUGCCACAUAUACUCCGAGGCCUGAUGGGGACGCGAAAUUGUAGUAGCGGAACUGGCUGACCCCAUGCUGCCAAGAAAAGCCUCUAGCGAGGGGCCAGGGUGCCCGUACCGCAAACCGACACAGGUAGGUGGGGUGAGAAUCCUAAGGCGCGCGAGAGAACUCUCGUUAAGGAACUCGGCAAACUAACCCUGUAACUUCGGGAGAAAGGGUGCCCUGUUAGUGUGGCAUAGGCAUGCUUUAUGCUGCAUGAGAGGGCCGCAGAGAAAUGGCCCAAGCGACUGUUUAUCAAAAACACAGGUCUCUGCUAAGUCGAAAGACGAUGUAUAGGGGCUGACGCCUGCCCAGUGCCGGAAGGUUAAGGGGAAGGGUUAGCGCAAGCGAAGCUCUGAACCGAAGCCCCGGUGAACGGCGGCCGUAACUAUAACGGUCCUAAGGUAGCGAAAUUCCUUGUCGGGUAAGUUCCGACCCGCACGAAUGGCGUAACGACUUGGGCGCUGUCUCAACGAGAGGCUCGGCGAAAUUAUAAAUACCCGUGAAGAUGCGGGUUACCCGCGACAAGACGGAAAGACCCCGUGGAGCUUUACUGUAGCCUGAGAUUGGAUUUUGGUGCGUUAUGUACAGGAUAGGUGGGAGGCUUGGAAGGGGCGACGCCAGUUGCCCUGGAGCCGACCUUGGGAUACCACCCUUAGCGUGCUGGAGUUCUAACCCUUAUCCGUGAUCCGGGUGGGGGACAUUCUCUGGUGGGCAGUUUGACUGGGGCGGUCGCCUCCCAAAAGGUAACGGAGGCGCCCAAAGGUUCCCUCAGCGCGGUUGGAAAUCGCGCUUCCAGAGUGUAAAGGCAUAAGGGAGCUUGACUGCGAGAGCAACAACUCGAGCAGGAUGGAAACAUGGGCUUAGUGAUCCGGUGGCACUGUGUGGAAGGGCCAUCGCUCAACGGAUAAAAGCUACCCCGGGGAUAACAGGCUGAUUUCCCCCAAGAGUCCACAUCGACGGGGAAGUUUGGCACCUCGAUGUCGGCUCGUCGCAUCCUGGAGCUGGAGCAAGUUCCAAGGGUUGGGCUGUUCGCCCAUUAAAGCGGCACGCGAGCUGGGUUCAGAACGUCGUGAGACAGUUCGGUCCCUAUCUGUCGUGGGCGCAGGAGAUUUGAGGGGAGCCGUCCCUAGUACGAGAGGACCGGGAUGGAUAUACCGAUGGUGUACCAGUUAUUCCGCCAGGAGUACAGCUGGGAAGCUAAGUAUAGAAGGGAUAAGCGCUGAAAGCAUCUAAGCGCCAAGCCCCCCCCAAGAUGAGAUCUCCCACGGAGUAGUCCGGUAAGACCCCAGAGAGAUUAUCUGGUAGAUAGGCCGGCGGUGUAAGGAUAGUGAUAUCUUCAGCUAGCCGGUACUAAUAGGUCGAGGGCUUGACCUU